This 1385-nucleotide ribosomal RNA is filed under the name Salmonella enterica. Its description in RNAcentral is "partial 23S ribosomal RNA". It matches the Rfam family "Bacterial large subunit ribosomal RNA", at positions 1 to 1418 of the family's 2925-position model. The record is from RNAcentral. Lineage: Bacteria; Pseudomonadati; Pseudomonadota; Gammaproteobacteria; Enterobacterales; Enterobacteriaceae.
GGGUUGUGAGGUUAAGCGACUAAGCGUACACGGUGGAUGCCCUGGCAGUCAGAGGCGAUGAAGGGCGUGCUAAUCUGCGAUAAGCGCCGGUAAGGUGAUAUGAACCGUUAUAACCGGCGAUACCCGAAUGGGGAAACCCAGUGUGAUUCGUCACACUAUCAUUAACUGAAUCCAUAGGUUAAUGAGGCGAACCGGGGGAACUGAAACAUCUAAGUACCCCGAGGAAAAGAAAUCAACCGAGAUUCCCCCAGUAGCGGCGAGCGAACGGGGAGGAGCCCAGAGCCUGAAUCAGCAUGUGUGUUAGUGGAAGCGUCUGGAAAGGCGCGCGAUACAGGGUGACAGCCCCGUACACAAAAGCGCAUGUGCUGUGAGCUCGAUGAGUAGGGCGGGACACGUGGUAUCCUGUCUGAAUAUGGGGGGACCAUCCUCCAAGGCUAAAUACUCCUGACUGACCGAUAGUGAACCAGUACCGUGAGGGAAAGGCGAAAAGAACCCCGGCGAGGGGAGUGAAAAAGAACCUGAAACCGUGUACGUACAAGCAGUGGGAGCACCCUUUGGGUGUGACUGCGUACCUUUUGUAUAAUGGGUCAGCGACUUAUAUUCUGUAGCAAGGUUAACCGAAUAGGGGAGCCGGAGGGAAACCGAGUCUUAACCGGGCGUUAAGUUGCAGGGUAUAGACCCGAAACCCGGUGAUCUAGCCAUGGGCAGGUUGAAGGUUGGGUAACACUAACUGGAGGACCGAACCGACUAAUGUUGAAAAAUUAGCGGAUGACCUGUGGCUGGGGGUGAAAGGCCAAUCAAACCGGGAGAUAGCUGGUUCUCCCCGAAAGCUAUUUAGGUAGCGCCUCGUGAAUUCAUCUCCGGGGGUAGAGCACUGUUUCGGCUAGGGGGCCAUCCCGGCUUACCAACCCGAUGCAAACUGCGAAUACCGGAGAAUGUUAUCACGGGAGACACACGGCGGGUGCUAACGUCCGUCGUGAAGAGGGAAACAACCCAGACCGCCAGCUAAGGUCCCAAAGUCAUGGUUAAGUGGGAAACGAUGUGGGAAGGCCCAGACAGCCAGGAUGUUGGCUUAGAAGCAGCCAUCAUUUAAAGAAAGCGUAAUAGCUCACUGGUCGAGUCGGCCUGCGCGGAAGAUGUAACGGGGCUAAACCAUGCACCGAAGCUGCGGCAGCGACACUGUGUGUUGUUGGGUAGGGGAGCGUUCUGUAAGCCUGUGAAGGUGUGUCGUGAGGCAUGCUGGAGGUAUCAGAAGUGCGAAUGCUGACAUAAGUAACGAUAAAGCGGGUGAAAAGCCCGCUCGCCGGAAGACCAAGGGUUCCUGUCCAACGUUAAUCGGGGCAGGGUGAGUCGACCCCUAAGGCGAGGCCGAAAGGCGUAGUCGA